AAUAGAUACCCUGGUAGUCCACGCCGUAAACGAUGAGUGCUAAGUGUUAGAGGGUUUCCGCCCUUUAGUGCUGCAGCAAACGCAUUAAGCACUCCGCCUGGGGAGUACGGCCGCAAGGCUGAAACUCAAAGGAAUUGACGGGGGCCCGCACAAGCGGUGGAGCAUGUGGUUUAAUUCGAAGCAACGCGAAGAACCUUACCAGGUCUUGACAUCCUCUGACACUCCUAGAGAUAGGACGUUCCCCUUCGGGGGACAGAGUGACAGGUGGUGCAUGGUUGUCGUCAGCUCGUGUCGUGAGAUGUUGGGUUAAGUCCCGCAACGAGCGCAACCCUUGAUCUUAGUUGCCAGCAUUCAGUUGGGCACUCUAAGGUGACUGCCGGUGACAAACCGGAGGAAGGUGGGGAUGACGUCAAAUCAUCAUGCCCCUUAUGACCUGGGCUACACACGUGCUACAAUGGAUGGUACAAAGGGCAGCAAAACCGCGAGGUCGAGCAAAUCCCAUAAAACCAUUCUCAGUUCGGAUUGUAGG
Molecule: ribosomal RNA, 529 nt
Filed under: uncultured bacterium
Lineage: Bacteria
Description: bacterial SSU rRNA
Rfam family: Bacterial small subunit ribosomal RNA
Source: RNAcentral